Molecule: unclassified non-coding RNA, 270 nt
Filed under: uncultured Rozellomycota
Lineage: Eukaryota; Fungi; Rozellomycota
Description: uncultured Cryptomycota partial contains 5.8S ribosomal RNA, internal transcribed spacer 2, and large subunit ribosomal RNA
Rfam family: 5.8S ribosomal RNA (bases 1-93)
Source: RNAcentral
GUGCGAUAUGUAGUGCGAUUUGCAUGAAUCUGUGAGUCAUCUAAUCUUUGAACGCAACUUGCGCCUCUUUGAGGCAUGUUUGUUUGAGUGCCGCAUACCUUUAUGCAGCAAUGCGAUUUGAUUCACGUCUCCGGACCGAAUCUAAAUAUAGCCAGAUGGUGGUCAGCGUGACUAGCCCGAGUGCUAAGCAUUCUUGGAACUAGUUAGGCAGCCAUUAAAAAUCUUUUUAUAUUUGGCCUCAAAUCAAGCAAGACUACCCGCUGAACUUAA